This 67-nucleotide transfer RNA is filed under the name Marmota monax (woodchuck). RNAcentral's name for it is "tRNA.Ala". Lineage: Eukaryota; Metazoa; Chordata; Mammalia; Rodentia; Sciuridae. The record is from RNAcentral.
GGAUGUAGCCAAGUGGUAGAGUAGUUGUCUAGCAUGCACAAUGGCCUGGGUUCAAUCCCCAGCACCA